GACGAACGCUGGCGGCGUGCCUAAUACAUGCAAGUUGAGCGCUGAAGGUUGGUACUUGUACCAACUGGAUGAGCAGCGAACGGGUGAGUAACGCGUGGGGAAUCUGCCUUUGAGCGGGGGACAACAUUUGGAAACGAAUGCUAAUACCGCAUAAAAACUUUAAACACAAGUUUUAAGUUUGAAAGAUGCAAUUGCAUCACUCAAAGAUGAUCCCGCGUUGUAUUAGCUAGUUGGUGAGGUAAAGGCUCACCAAGGCGAUGAUACAUAGCCGACCUGAGAGGGUGAUCGGCCAACUUGGGACUGGGACACGGCCCAAACUCCUACGGGAGGCAGCAGUAGGGAAUCUUCGGCAAUGGACGAAAGUCUGACCGCGCAACGCCGCGUGAGUGAAGAAGGUUUUCGGAUCGUAAAACUCUGUUGGUAGAGAAGAACGUUGGUGAGAGUGGAAAGCUCAUCAAGUGACGGUAACUACCCAGAAAGGGACGGCUAACUACGUG
RNAcentral lists this ribosomal RNA (497 nucleotides) under uncultured bacterium. Its description in RNAcentral is "partial 16S ribosomal RNA". It matches the Rfam family "Bacterial small subunit ribosomal RNA", at positions 28 to 507 of the family's 1533-position model. The record is from RNAcentral.